AAACUCAAAUGAAUUGACGGGGCCGCACAAGACGGAGGAACAUGUGGUUUAAUUCGAUGAUACGCGAGGAACCUUACCUGGGCUUAAAUGUAGAGUGCAUUUUUAGAGAUAGAAAUUCCCUUCGGGCUUUCUGCAAGGUGCUGCAUGGUUGUCGUCAGCUCGUGCCGUGAGGUGUCGGGUUAAGUCCCAUAACGAGCGCAACCCUUAUCGUUAGUUGCCAUCUGGUAAUGCAGGGGACUCUAGCGAAACUGCCACCGUAAGGUGAGAGGAAGGUGGGGAUGACGUCAAAUCAGCACGGCCCUUAUGUCCAGGGCUACACACGUGUUACAAUGGUCGGUACAGAGGGCAGCUACCUGGUGACAGGAUGCUAAUCUCGAAAACCGGUCUCAGUUCGGAUCGAAGUCUGCAACUCGACUCCAUGAAGUCGGAAUCGCUAGUAAUCGCGUAUCAGCGUGACGCGGUGAAUACGUUCCCGGGCCUU
RNAcentral lists this ribosomal RNA (481 nucleotides) under uncultured Sphingobacteriales bacterium. RNAcentral's name for it is "bacterial SSU rRNA". It matches the Rfam family "Bacterial small subunit ribosomal RNA", at positions 897 to 1382 of the family's 1533-position model. The record is from RNAcentral. Lineage: Bacteria; Pseudomonadati; Bacteroidota; Sphingobacteriia; Sphingobacteriales.